Molecule: long non-coding RNA, 1097 nt
Organism: Oncorhynchus tshawytscha (Chinook salmon)
Lineage: Eukaryota; Metazoa; Chordata; Actinopteri; Salmoniformes; Salmonidae
Source: Ensembl
GUUGAGGCUGGAGUUAGAGAGGUGGAGUCUGGAUGCUGAGUCUGGGUCUUUAGAGAGGUGGAGUCUGGAUGCUGAGUCUGGGUCUUUAGAGAGGUGGAGUCUGGAUGCUGAGUCUGGGUCUUUAGUGAGGUGGAGUCUGGAUGCUGAGUCUGGGUCUUUAGAGAGGUGGAGUCUGGAUGCUGAGUCUGGGUCUUUAGUGAGGUGGAGUCUGGAUGCUGAGUCUGGGUCUUUAGAGAGGUGGAGUCUGGAUGCUGAGUCUGGGUCUUUAGAGAGGUGGAGUCUGGAUGCUGAGUCUGGGGUUAGAGAGGUGGAGUCUGGAUGCUGAGUCUGGGUCUUUAGAGAGGUGGAGUCUGGAUGCUGAGUCUGGGUCUUUAGAGAGUGGAGUCUGGAUGCUGAGUCUGGGUCUUUAGUGAGGUGGAGUCUGGAUGCUGAGUCUGGGUCUUUAGUGAGGUGGAGUCUGGAUGCUGAGUCUGGGUCUUUAGUGAGGUGGAGUCUGGAUGCUGAGUCUGGGUCUUUAGAGAGGUUGAGUCUGGAUGCUGAGUCUGGGUCUUUACAGAGGUGGAGUCUGGAUGCUGAGAACUGGGUCUUUAGUGAGGUGGAGUCUGGAUGCUGAGUCUGGGUCUUUUUGUAACUCCUUGAGUAGAUGUUGUUCAGUUCGCCUUGUUGAGGCUGGAGUUAGAGAGGUGGAGUCUGGAUGCUGAGUCUGGGUCUUUAGUGAGGUGGAGUCUGGAUGCUGAGUCUGGGUCUUUAGUGAGGUGGAGUCUGGAUGCUGAGUCUGGGUCUUUAGUGAGGUGGAGUCUGGAUGCUGAGUCUGGGUCUUUAGUGAGGUGGAGUCUGGAUGCUGAGUCUGGGUCUUUAGAGAGGUUGAGUCUGGAUGCUGAGUCUGGGUCUUUAGUGAGGUGGAGUCUGGAUGCUGAGUCUGGGUCUUUAGAGAGGUGGAGUCUGGAUGCUGAGUCUGGGUCUUUAGUGAGGUGGAAUCUGGAUGCUGAGUCUGGGUCUUUAGUGAGGUGGAGUCUGGAUGCUGAGUCUGGGUCUUUAGAGAGGUGGAGUCUGGAUGCUGAGUCUGGGUCUUUAGAGAGGUGGAGUCUGGAUGCUGA